Long non-coding RNA from Cyprinus carpio (common carp), 999 nucleotides. Lineage: Eukaryota; Metazoa; Chordata; Actinopteri; Cypriniformes; Cyprinidae. The record is from Ensembl.
AAUAAUAAAUUGUUUAAGAAAAAAUCAAUGCAAUUAUAAAAUACUGAUUAUUUAUAAAUAUUGAUCAGUAACAGAUAAAAUGGAAUGUUAAAAAUAAUAUAAUGAAAUGUAAUGACAUAAAAAAUCUGAUAUAUAUAUAUAUAUAUAUAUAUAUAUAUAUAAUAAAAAAUUCAAUGAAACAAUGAAAUAAUAAUUUUAGCAUAAUUAUUAAAAUAUGUAAUAAUUAAUAUAAAAUACAAAAUAUGUCAUUGUAUUAAGACCACUAUAAGUAAAGCAGAAUGAAAAUAAAUGCAAAAAAAUAAAAAAUCAAAUGACAAACUAGUGACUGUAUAAGCCACGAUGCUGUGAAGUCGUGUCAUGACUCGCUCCGUGUUUCAGGUCAGCAAGUGACUCUUUCACAGCGCGCGCUCUGAUUAAUGACUGGGAACUGUCCUAAGUGCGCUUUUACUCCUCCAGACUGCGAAAGACCCUCUGAACUCCCUGCUGGAAACGCAAAUCCCCGCAGCGCGUGUGUAUGAGCGGAUCUCACGCAAAUGACGCACGGCUGCGUGACGGCGACAGAAAUGUGCGCAAACUCUACAGACUGCGUGGGACAUGUUGAGGCAGAACACUCUUGGAAACUGUAACUGUUUCUUCAUGGAUGUACAAACGCAUGGCAUGAAGAUCCGUUUACCCUCAAGAUAUUCACACUACAUGUAUGUGCCAUACAGGAGGAUAAAAGCAAUCAAAUUAAGUGUCCUGCUCCUUCUGCUCCAGCUGCAGUUCAGUCAGACCAAACCCAUCGACUUCAUCUGUGACCCAGAGGUGAGGAGACGCAUGGAUGUGACGGAGACGCUGGAGCCGCUCAUGACGCACUGCUUGGACCAGCUGCCCUCGGACGUCCUGCAGCCGUGUGUCCGGAUAAACAUGGGAGCGUGGAAACAGACAUCAGUGAGUACAGCUCCUUCAUCUAACAAGAAAAAUCAAACCAGAAGAAAAACAUUGACUGAAAUAAAGUAA